This is a long non-coding RNA of Uranotaenia lowii, 4736 nucleotides long. RefSeq lists it as uncharacterized. The record is from RefSeq and is a predicted model, not a curated record. NCBI's taxonomy places the organism in Eukaryota, Metazoa, Arthropoda, Insecta, Diptera, Culicidae. The transcript is spliced from 4 exons.
GUCCGGUGAGGCACAUGGACUUAACUGUGAUUAAAUUGUUAGGUUCCGUCGGAUAUAUGCACAAACUGCGCUUCGAAGGCACGACCCAAGAAAAAGUUGUAUGGGAAAAACUCUUGAAAAUAAAAAAGAAGCAUGGCCUCAACACUUCAUCUGCUGGAAUGAAUGCGUCAACGGUUGGUUAUCAAUCAACCUUUGAAUUCAUCUGACGAAGAAUUUCUGGCAGUCACUCCAUUGGCCUUGACUUUGUCUUCACCCGGAGGAACGCCUCUACUGGGUAAUCCUGCACAGCUGCAGCACUGCCAAAGGCUCACAACCGCAGUACGAUAUUAGCAGCUAGCGGCUAGCUUCAAAAAAUAAUUUUUAAUUUGGCUGUCAGGCUGGCUCUGACAAAAAAAGGAAUAAAUGAAUAGUGAAAAUUUGUACGGACUGCUAAAGUUUCUGGACAGACUCGACUCCUUUUGUCGCUCAAUACAAUACCCGUUCGGCUAAAGUUAUGCUCGCUGUUAUCACUUGCAGCGGGUAUUGUGAGGAUGCGUUUUGCCAGAGUGGCUAGUCUCGGAAACAGGGAAGCUCAACAGUGUUUCGGGUGUGUCGUCAUUCCUUCUACCGUAUUGCAAGUACAGCUCCGGCUCUGCCUACGGCCCUAGAAUACCACUGCUACUUUCAUCCUCUCACGACCCAAAUCGAUAUCUUUUGGAAUCUCAGCGGACUAAGAUCUUUGCUUUCACAGAGUGAGGCAGCAAACUGAAAAAGACUGACCGGUUCAAGUAGUUCACAGCGUUUCUUGCUACCAGGCAUGUCAUGAUCGAUGGAGCAUGGUCUCUCAAAAAAUUGCCAUCCAAUGCAUGCUUCAAAUCGAUGUCUAGAUAAUUGACCAUGCAGAAAAAAACUCCUUACAUUUGCAGAGAUUUCCGAUUGAUCCGAUGGAAAAUCAGUCGUAAAUAACACCAGCGAUUUGAGCUCAAACUUCUCCGUGAUGUAUUUGGCCGUAGUCGUGAGGUAUGCUGUUUCCGAAUACCAAUCCGACGACAGAUCAGCAUCGAAAGAACAGCAUUUAGCUCUCAAAGCCUCCCUCACUUCUGGCAACUGUUUCGCUCUGACCUUCUCUGCAACGACGCACACUUUCCUCGAAACUAUUGAUGGGUCCGGCAGCACACUUUCGAGGUCCACAUUCCCGAAUUACGCACCAACUUCGAUAAGCUUCUGCGCCAAAUUCCUAAAACCUGGUCCAUUAAGCACGCUAAAUGGACGCAGAUCCAAGGCUUCCCACUUCACGCAAGCGUCAAAAAAUCCUGUCUUUGACGUGCUGUGGUACGCUUUGGGCAGAAGCUUGGCCUCUCGGAAUACUCUCUUGUACCACUUUCGGGAUACUCUCCUGUUCCACUUCAGAAGCCACUUCCGGGAUACUCUCCUGUUCCUCUUCAGAAGCCGAAGACUCAGGAUCGGAGUCAGAAGCGCCUGACCUGUAUCUCUCGAAGUGUCAAUGCAGGUUCGAGGUACUGUUGCCUUUCGGGAAUCGGAAAAGGGAUCCGCAGUUCACGCACUGCACAAAGCCGACACACUCCCUUGUGGUGCUCAAACACACGUUCUUGAUAAACUCCAAGCUUCGCAUUAUCGGGCACCUUCCUUGUCGCAAAGGAUGUACUCGCCUGAGCGAACCCGGAUGCGAACGUAGCAGCGUUAACCGGUGCGUUUUCCAUAAUGGAAGAAUUUGGUUUUAUUGUAAGCUCAGUAGAAAGAGAGAUAGAUCAAAUGUAGACUCAACUACAAGGCUUCCCAUUUCACACGGUAUACUUUGGACAAAGAUUGGCCUUCCGUAGUUCUUUCCUGUUCCUGUAUUUUAAAUCCAGCUUCGCAACCAGAAGACGAGGAAUUAGAAGAAGAUUUGACAACGCCUGCCCUGCAACUUUCAAAGUGGCGAUUAAGGUUCGACGUGCUAUUGCCCUUUGGGAACCGGAAAAGAGAUUGACACUUUGCACACUGCACAAACCCAACACUCUCCCUUGUGCUGCUCAAACACACCUUCUUGAAAAUGCUCCAAGCUUCGGAUGAUCGGCACCUUGUUUAUCAUCGCAUACGAUGUAUUCUCCUGAGCGCACCCGAAUAGCACUAUCUACUGGUGUGUUUUCCAUUCUGGGUUGUCAUUCAGCAGUCGAGAAGAGCGUCGGAUAUCUUAGAUCCUGGAUAGGACCAAGGAAAUUGGGUGUGCCUCUCUUGGGCAUUUCGUUAAUUUACGAACGUUUGGACACAGUACAGCUCCAAUGUAGUGGUCUUCUCGGAGACAACAAUUAAUUCCAACAAAAUAGAAUAGUGUUGAACCAUUCAACCUCUGUUGCUCUCCCUUCUGGCCAAGAACAUCCUUAAUUUUUGAAAUUACAUCAACGACAUCAACUAGCAUAUCGACAUCUGCAUUCCAGCGGACUUCAAACUUUGCUUUCACAGUGUAAGGCAGCAAACUGAAAAAGCCUGACUAGUUCAAGUAGUUCACAGCGUUUCUUGCUACUUGCAGGCAUGUCAUGAUCGAUGGAGCAUGGUGUCUCAAAAAAUUUCCAUCCAAUGCAUGUUUCAAAAAGGUGUCCAGAUUAUUGGCCAUGCAGGACACAAGAUUCCGAUCGCCGAAUGCAUUGGCAAUGGAGUUUUUCAAUUGCAGCAUUUGACAAACUCCUAACAGCCGCGGUUUCGGAUUGGUCCGUUGGGAGGUCAGUCGUAAAUAGAACCAGCGACUUGAGCUCAAACUUCUCCGUGAUGUAUUUGGCCGUAGUCGUGAGGUAUGUUGUUUCCGAAUACCGAUCCGACCACAGAUCAGCAUCGAAAGCACAGCAUUUAGCUCUCAAAUCCUCCCUCACUUCUGGCAACUGUUUCGCUCUGACCUUCUCUGCAACGACGCACGCUUUCCUCGAAACUAUUGAUGGGUCCGGCAGCACACUUUCGAGGUCCACAUUCCUGAAUUCCGCAUCAACAUCGAUAAGCUUCUGCGCCAAAUUCCUAAAACCUGGUCUGUUAGGCACGCUAAAUGGACGCAGAUCUAAGGCUUCCCACUUUACGCAAGCGCCCGGUCCUUGACGUGCUGUGGAACGCUUUAAGCAAAUGCUUGGCCUUUCGGAAUACUCUCCUGUACCACUUUCGGGAUACUCUCCUGUUCCACUUCAGAAGCCACUUCCGGGAUACUCUCCUGUGCCACUUCAGAAGCCGAAGACUCAGGAUCGGAGUCAGAAACGCCUGCCCUGCAUCUCUCGAAGUGGCGAUUCAGGUUCGAAAAGGUAUUGCCCUUUGGGAACCGGAAAAGGGAUUCACAGUUCAUGCAGUACACAUACCCGACACUAUCCCUUGUGCUGCUCAAACACACGUUCUUGAAGGUACUCCAAGCUUCGCAUUAUCGGGCACCUUCCUUGUCGCAAAGUAUGUACUCGCCUGAGCGCACCCGUAUGCGAAUCGUAGCACUGUCAAUCGGUGUGUUUUCCAUUAUAGGAAGAUUUGGUUUGAUUGUAAGCUCAGUAGAAUGAGAGAUUGAUCAAAUGUAGACUCAGCUACAAGGCUUCUCAUUUCACACGGUACACUUCGGUUAAAGAUUGGCCUUCCGGAGUUCUUUCCUGUUCCUGUAUUUCAAAUCCAGCUUCGCAACCAGAAGACGAGGAAUAAGAAGCAGAACUGACAACCCUGCCCUGUAACUUUCAAAGUGGCGAUUAAGGUUCGACGUGCUAUUGCCCUUUGGGAACCGGAAAAGAGAUUGACACUUUGCACACUGCACAAACCCAACACUCUCGCUUGUGCUGCUCAAACACACCUUCUUGAAAAUGCUCCAAGCUUCGGAUGAUCGGCACCUUGCUUAUCAUCGCAUACGAUGUACUCUCCUGAGCGCACCUGAAUAGCACUAUCUACUGGUGUGUUUUCCAUUCUGGGUUGUCAUUCAGCAGUCGAGAAGAAUUCCCCAUUCCAUCACGAUGUAUUACAGAGCGGUGACCUGAUUCAAAAGCGCUUUUAAAAAUCAACAGAUAUGAGCACAAUUUCCGUCUUAGAAACAAUGGAACCAUGGUAUUGGAGCAAAAGAAACGAGUGGUUCCUAAGAUACUAGAGCUAGAAAAGUCUGUAAGUGCAACGAAGAUGGUUGAACUGAUGGGUAAUUGAGGAGGUGAACGAACCGGCUGUGCGAGUAUCCGAAAUGAUUAGAGAACUGAAGUUCUUACAGGAUACAUCUCAGAUCAUCAGUUCUUAUCUCCCAAAUGUUCUAAAUGAGAUGGAGCAUGGUCUCUCAAAUAAUUGCCAUCCAAUGCAUGCUUCAAAACGGUGUCCAGAUAAUAGGCCAUGCAGUACACAAGAUUCCGAUCGGCGAAUGCUAGGCAAUAUUUAAGCACUGGUCCGUUAUGUGAGUCACAUCAGCAAUGUCCUCUUGGGAAAUCUGGAGUUUUUCAAUUGUGGAAUUUGACAAACUCCUUACAUUCGCAGUGAUUUCGGAUUGAUCCGCUGGGAGGUCAGUCGUAAAUAGCACCAGCGAUUUGAGCUCGAACUCCUCCGUGAUGUAUUUGGCCGUAGUCGUGAGGUAUGCUGAUUCCGAAUACCGAUCCGACCACAGAUUAGCAUUGGAUUGUGGUGGAUGAGAGCUUACCCAAUGAAAUGUAAUUGAAAACUGAGAAAGCAAAAAAAAUAAAUAAAGGCGAUUAAAUAUUAUCUGAUUGAUUAAAUAUAAUUGUGUAAAAGUUUAAAUCAAUUACUUGUCGUUCUUUGUUGAUCGUGUAAAC